Molecule: ribosomal RNA, 87 nt
Filed under: Capsella bursa-pastoris (shepherd's purse)
Lineage: Eukaryota; Viridiplantae; Streptophyta; Magnoliopsida; Brassicales; Brassicaceae
Also listed under: 3 other names
Description: partial 5.8S ribosomal RNA
Rfam family: 5.8S ribosomal RNA
About the family: 5.8S ribosomal RNA (5.8S rRNA) is a component of the large subunit of the eukaryotic ribosome. It is transcribed by RNA polymerase I as part of the 45S precursor that also contains 18S and 28S rRNA.
Source: RNAcentral
UGCAGAAUCCCGUGAACCAUCGAGUCUUUGAACGCAAGUUGCGCCCCAAGCCUUCUGGCCGAGGGCACGUCUGCCUGGGUGUCACAA